GCUCACUGAUAAUUUAAAGAGCCGCAGUAUCCUAACUGUGCUAAGGUAGCAUAAUCAUUAGUCUUUUAAUUGGAGACUGGUAUGAAUGGCUAAACGAGAAAUUGACUUUUUUUACUAUAUUAAUUGAACUUAAUUUUUUAGUGAAAAAGCUAAUAUGAUUCAGAAAGACGAGAAGACCCUGUAGAGUUUUAUAUUAAUUUAUAUUUUUUCUUAGUAGAUUUUUAAAGAAUAAAUUUAACAAGAUAUUUUGUUGGGGCGACAUUAAGAUAAGAGAAACUCUUUAUUUUUAAAAUUUUUAUAAAAAUAUUUUAUGAUCCUCUAUAAGGGAUCAAAAGAAAAAAUUACCUUAGGGAUAACAGCGUAAUCUUUUUUGAGAGUUCUAAUCGACAAAAAGGUUUGCGACCUCGAUGUUGGACUAAAAUUUAGGCAGGGUGCAGCAGUUUUGCUUUUAGGUCUGUUCGACCUAUAAUA
This 471-nucleotide ribosomal RNA is filed under the name Cantellius sextus. RNAcentral describes it as "partial 16S large subunit ribosomal RNA". It matches the Rfam family "Bacterial large subunit ribosomal RNA", at positions 1861 to 2593 of the family's 2925-position model. Lineage: Eukaryota; Metazoa; Arthropoda; Thecostraca; Balanomorpha; Pyrgomatidae. The record is from RNAcentral.